UUCUUCCUAGAAUAUUUUCCUUCUUGGAUAUAGUAACUUUGUGCCGAUGUGCCCAGAUUUCCAAGGCUUGGAACAUCUUAGCCCUGGAUGGAAGCAACUGGCAAAGAAUAGACCUUUUUAACUUU
Molecule: long non-coding RNA, 125 nt
Organism: Myotis brandtii (Brandt's bat)
Lineage: Eukaryota; Metazoa; Chordata; Mammalia; Chiroptera; Vespertilionidae
Exons: 2
Source: RefSeq, a predicted model, not a curated record